AUACGUAGGUGGCAAGCGUUGUCCGGAAUUAUUGGGCGUAAAGCGCGCGCAGGCGGUUCCUUAAGUCUGAUGUGAAAGCCCCCGGCUCAACCGGGGAGGGUCAUUGGAAACUGGGGAACUUGAGUGCAGAAGAGGAUAGUGGAAUUCCAAGUGUAGCGGUGAAAUGCGUAGAGAUUUGGAGGAACACCAGUGGCGAAGGCGAGUGUCUGGUCUGUAACUGACCCUGAGGCGGGAAAGGGUGGGGAGCAAACAGGAUUAAGUACCCGGGUAGUCCACGCCGUAAACGAUGAGUGCUAAGUGUUGGGGGGUUUCCGCCCCUCAGUGCUGCAGCUAACGCAUUAAGCACUCCGCCUGGGGAGUACGGUCGCAAGACUGAAACUCAAAUGAAUUGUCGGGG
Molecule: ribosomal RNA, 397 nt
Filed under: uncultured bacterium
Lineage: Bacteria
Description: partial 16S ribosomal RNA
Rfam family: Bacterial small subunit ribosomal RNA
Source: RNAcentral